GGUUUCUUUAGCUUAUUGGGUAAAGCUUUGUUUUGUGGUACCAAAGAAUAAGGUUUGAUUCCGGGAAAAACCC
This 73-nucleotide transfer RNA is filed under the name Chryseobacterium potabilaquae. RNAcentral's name for it is "Chryseobacterium sp. CECT 9293 tRNA-His". Lineage: Bacteria; Pseudomonadati; Bacteroidota; Flavobacteriia; Flavobacteriales; Weeksellaceae. The record is from RNAcentral.